ACGACUACAUAUCAGGCAUAUCAAUAAGCGGAGGAAAAGAAACUAACUAGGAUUCCCUAGUAACGGCGAGUGAAGCGGGAAGAGCUCAAAUUUGAAAUCUUCAAGGUUUUACCUUGACGAAUUGUAGUUUAAAGAAGUGUUUUCUGUUGGUGUUUUGGUAAAAGUUCUUUGGAAUAGGACAUCAUAGAGGGUGAGAAUCCCGUAUUUGACCAUUAUUUCAGCUGUGUGAUACACUUUCAAAGAGUCGGAUUGUUUGGGAAUGCAGUCCAAAAUGGGUGGUAAAUUUCAUCUAAAGCUAAAUAUUGGCGAGAGACCGAUAGCGAACAAGUACCGUGAGGGAAAGAUGAAAAGAACUUUGAAAAGAGAGUUAAACAGUACGUGAAAUUGUCAAAAGGGAAGCGUUUGACACCAGUGUUGUUUUCUCGAAAAUCAAUUAAAAAUGGCCGGAUUUUGUGUUGUAUUGACUUUAUCAGCUUUCUGCACUUUUUUCUUGUCUUUUUUAAUGCACUUUUCGUUUAACAAGUCAACAUCAAUUUCUUUUGUUGUAAAAGAGUCAUUGGAAGGUGGCUUUCACUUCGGUGAAAGUGUUUAUAGCCUUUGACUUCUGCAAUCGGAGAGAUUGAGGUCUGCAGCGUAGAUCCUUCGGGGUUAGAUACAUUAGAUGCUAAGUUAUAGUUUUUCAUAGACAACAUGUUGACUAUGAUUAAUCAUGUAGCUUACUCGUUAUGCCUAUUUUACCUACGCUUAGGAUGUUGAACGCGCACAGAGUCUC
RNAcentral lists this ribosomal RNA (772 nucleotides) under uncultured Neocallimastigales. RNAcentral's name for it is "partial large subunit ribosomal RNA". It matches the Rfam family "Eukaryotic large subunit ribosomal RNA", at positions 24 to 614 of the family's 3401-position model. Lineage: Eukaryota; Fungi; Neocallimastigomycota; Neocallimastigomycetes; Neocallimastigales. The record is from RNAcentral.